This 497-nucleotide ribosomal RNA is filed under the name uncultured bacterium. RNAcentral describes it as "partial 16S ribosomal RNA". It matches the Rfam family "Bacterial small subunit ribosomal RNA", at positions 28 to 507 of the family's 1533-position model. The record is from RNAcentral.
GACGAACGCUGGCGGCGUGCCUAAUACAUGCAAGUUGAGCGCUUAAGGUUGGUACUUGUACCAACUGGAUGAGCAGCGAACGGGUGAGUAACGCGUGGGGAAUCUGCCUUUGAGCGGGGGACAACAUUUGGAAACGAAUGCUAAUACCGCAUAAAAACUUUAAACACAAGUUUUAAGUUUGAAAGAUGCAAUUGCAUCACUCAAAGAUGAUCCCGCGUUGUAUUAGCUAGUUGGUGAGGUAAAGGCUCACCAAGGCGAUGAUACAUAGCCGACCUGAGAGGGUGAUCGGCCACAUUGGGACUGAGACACGGCCCAAACUCCUACGGGAGGCAGCAGUAGGGAAUCUUCGGCAAUGGACGAAAGUCUGACCGAGCAACGCCGCGUGAGUGAAGAAGGUUGUCGGAUCGUAAAACUCUGUUGGUAGAGAAGAACGUUGGUGAGAGUGGAAAGCUCAUCAAGUGACGGUAACUACACAGAAAGGGACGGCUAACUACGUG